RNAcentral lists this ribosomal RNA (497 nucleotides) under uncultured bacterium. RNAcentral describes it as "partial 16S ribosomal RNA". It matches the Rfam family "Bacterial small subunit ribosomal RNA", at positions 28 to 507 of the family's 1533-position model. The record is from RNAcentral.
GAUGAACGCUGGCGGCGUGCCUAAUACAUGCAAGUCGAGCGAACGGACGAGAAGCUUUCUUCUCUGAUGUUAGCGUCGGACGGGUGAGUAACACGUGGAUAACCUACCUAUAAGACUGGGAUAACUUCGGGAAACCGUAGCUAAUACCGGAUAAUAUUUUGAACCGCAUGGUUCAAAAGUAAAAGACGGUCUUGCUGUCACUUAUAGAUGGAUCCGCGCUGCAUUAGCUAGUUGGUAAGGUAACGGCUUACCAAGGCAACGAUGCAUAGCCGACCUGAGAGGGUGAUCGGCCACACUGGAACUGAGACACGGUCCAGACUCCUACGGGAGGCAGCAGUAGGGAAUCUUCCGCAAUGGGCGAAAGCCUGACGGAGCAACGCCGCGUGAAUGAUGAAGGUCUUAGGAUCGUAAAACACUGUUAUUAGGGAAGAAAAGAUAUGUAAGUAAAAGUGCAAAUCUUGACGGUACCUAAAGAGAAAGCCACGGCUAACUACGUG